This 303-nucleotide ribosomal RNA is filed under the name uncultured bacterium. Its description in RNAcentral is "partial 16S ribosomal RNA". It matches the Rfam family "Bacterial small subunit ribosomal RNA", at positions 507 to 807 of the family's 1533-position model. The record is from RNAcentral.
AGCAGUCGCCACGGGAAUACGUAGGGCGCAAGCGUUAUCCGGAAUUAUUGGGCGUAAAGAGCUCGUAGGCGGUUUGUCGCGUCUGCCGUGAAAGUCCGGGGCUCAACCCCGGAUCUGCGGUGGGUACGGGCAGACUAGAGUGAUGUAGGGGAGACUGGAAUUCCUGGUGUAGCGGUGAAAUGCGCAGAUAUCAGGAGGAACACCGAUGGCGAAGGCAGGUCUCUGGGCAUUAACUGACGCUGAGGAGCGAAAGCAUGGGGAGCGAACAGGAUUAGAUACCCGUGUAGUCCCUGUCUCUUAUAC